This 1503-nucleotide long non-coding RNA is filed under the name Strigops habroptila (Kakapo). Its description in RNAcentral is "lncRNA (ENSSHBG00005003001.1)". Lineage: Eukaryota; Metazoa; Chordata; Aves; Psittaciformes; Psittacidae. The record is from RNAcentral.
CAGUUGCCUUUUUAUCAACAGAAACAUUAUUACACAGUGAAACCUUUAAAUCUACCAAUGGUGAACAGAACAUAUGAUCAGAACAAAUCAAUUCUCAGUUUCAAAAGAACAACAACUUCCUUUUGCUAUUACAGCAACAAUCCAGAUCCCAAACCACAUCUAUAUAUGAAGAUUCCAGCUGGAACAAGACAGUUCUUUACAAACCCCAUCCCCUUUUUUUUUGCAGUAUACUGAAGAAAAGAUUGCCUGUAUCUUGCAAUGUUAAGAACAGUGCAACAAAAUCUUUUAUUGCUGACCAGGAAACAGUUUCCACAUGAUUAAAAACAAAGACUUGUGCCCUUGUUCAAAAACAGUCAGACAAGUAAGUAGUAUCAGACACUAAUCAUGUCCAUACAGUUCCAGUCUGCUUCCUUGUGUACAAACACAAGAAAAACAAAGCACUAGUUUUCUGCAAAACUAAGUCUUACUCACUGUGAGCCUUUAUAGGCGAGUGAAAUGUAGGGAAUGGUUGUGCUACAGUGAAUAGCUAUGCCAUGAAGUGAUCUUAGGAAGGAGGAAGGUUCUGCAGGAAGGGUCUGUCUGAAAACUGUUAACAAAUAUACACAAGGAGGCAGGACUGAUGAAAUGCUACACGUAACCUUCGAUUUACAGCCUUACUACUGCAACUCUGAAACAUACAAACUGGUUUCGUAUGAAAAGCUUUAAAUUGAACAUCUUUUACACGAGCACAAGUGCAUAGUUUACAAGUUCAUCCUUGUCGGCCCGUUGUCAGGUUUACAGCAAGGAGGGACAAUGCUUGUUGACAGAUGACAAUACAGGAUAAGCCCUUUAUCAUGUUUCACUUUUAUUGAACAUUUGCUGCAAAUGCAGAUUCCAACCUUGCUUCAGGUUGUACGCAUCGACUCAAGCCAUGAGAAAUCAAUACGUUUGGAAAUCCAAAGCCUUGUAGUGGCAAAGGGGUCGGUAGUGGUUGAUAUCUGUAGUUAGAGAAAUGACAGUGGUGUAACAGUCACUCGUAAAAGCAGUGUGGUGCAAGAGGCUCUUUGGUGCCAAAAAACACUGUCAGUGAUGCAUUUCUGAACGCUACUGAGUAGAAAGCAAUCCAAAUUACAACUCUCCCCUGCAGUGCUAGAGAAACAUUAAAGGACACUGGAGACUCCCAUAUCUUGAGUGGUCUGCGAAGAAAUAUCACCGUGAAAGAAAAGCUGUAUAAAAAUCAAUGACAAAAGACUUCAAUGAGAAAGUAGAUACUAUCUUUCAUCCUGAAAUACAGGCCAGCUCUACAGCAGGCAUAUUAAAUAAUCAGAUUUAAGGUGAUCUACACAUUGAGACCUGAAAGAUCACUGCCUUAAUCUUACACCCAUUUAUAUGGGCAUUUAUAUGGCAAGGUACUUGCAUCAUCUAGAUCUUCAGUAGUGCCUAAAGAACACACUGCUUAUAUACCAGCAUAUGUUAUGUUAAACACUUAGAAUUAUGUAGAAACCUCAGAUUUCAAGUGAAGCC